This 253-nucleotide ribosomal RNA is filed under the name uncultured bacterium. Its description in RNAcentral is "partial 16S ribosomal RNA". It matches the Rfam family "Bacterial small subunit ribosomal RNA", at positions 524 to 776 of the family's 1533-position model. The record is from RNAcentral.
GACAGAGGAUGCAAGCGUUAUCCGGAAUGAUUGGGCGUAAAGAGCUUGUAGGCGGUUUGUCGCGUCUGCUGUGAAAAUCCGGGGCUCAACCCCGGACUUGCAGUGGGUACGGGCAGACUAGAGUGUGGUAGGGGAGACUGGAAUUCCUGGUGUAGCGGUGGAAUGCGCAGAUAUCAGGAGGAACACCGAUGGCGAAGGCAGGUCUCUGGGCCACUACUGACGCUGAGAAGCGAAAGCAUGGGGAGCGAACAGG